RNAcentral lists this ribosomal RNA (484 nucleotides) under uncultured bacterium. Its description in RNAcentral is "partial 16S ribosomal RNA". It matches the Rfam family "Bacterial small subunit ribosomal RNA", at positions 30 to 507 of the family's 1533-position model. The record is from RNAcentral.
AUUGAACGCUGGCGGCAGGCCUAACACAUGCAAGUCGAGCGGAUGAAGGGAGCUUGCUCCUGGAUUCAGCGGCGGACGGGUGAGUAAUGCCUAGGAAUCUGCCUGGUAGUGGGGGAUAACGUCCGGAAACGGGCGCUAAUACCGCAUACGUCCUGAGGGAGAAAGUGGGGGAUCUUCGGACCUCACGCUAUCAGAUGAGCCUAGGUCGGAUUAGCUAGUUGGUGGGGUAAAGGCCUACCAAGGCGACGAUCCGUAACUGGUCUGAGAGGAUGAUCAGUCACACUGGAACUGAGACACGGUCCAGACUCCUACGGGAGGCAGCAGUGGGGAAUAUUGGACAAUGGGCGAAAGCCUGAUCCAGCCAUGCCGCGUGUUCGAAGAAGGUCUUCGGAUUGUAAAGCACUUUAAGUUGGGAGGAAGGGCAGUAAGUUAAUACCUUGCUGUUUUGACGUUACCAACAGAAUAAGCACCGGCUAACUUCGUG